GUGUUCCCGGAGAAUUCUGCAGCCCGCGACUCAAGGCAAUUCAUUGCACCCGACACCUCAGCUCCAGAUGCCUUGUUUCCGAAGCUGGGACUUUGGGGGUUCUGACCACCGUUCCUGGGGGAGCGGGUGACAGUCUAUGAGGUUCUCGCGUCCCCUCUGAUUCCUGCACAGUUACCGAGAGAGCGUGGGCUAGAAAUGGCUUUGCUGCUGAAUGCAUUAUCUUGCCAUUUUCGUAUCCCGAUACAGCACAUACGAUCGCCUGAUCGAUCGGAAAUAGGAGGGAAAGGUAGAGUGGAAAUUGAUUUCUUGCAGAGACUGAGGCGCCGAAUGAUAGAGGGAAUAAACAUUUGCCCUGGAUAAAAAUGUUCUUGGCUGACAAAUGUUGGAGGGGGAUCUGAGGUCCACAGAAAGAAGAUGGAUGUCCUGAAUUACAUUUGUUACAAAUGUAACCUCAACAGGUGUGAUAUGUAGACAACAUACUUCUCGCAUAAGUUCUUAAUAUGCUGCUUAAACUUACUUAACUAAAUUGUUAUUCAAAGAGAUGCAAUUGUUUUCUGAGGGCCCAGCUUAAGUUAG
Molecule: long non-coding RNA, 576 nt
Organism: Hyaena hyaena (striped hyena)
Lineage: Eukaryota; Metazoa; Chordata; Mammalia; Carnivora; Hyaenidae
Exons: 3
Source: RefSeq, a predicted model, not a curated record